RNAcentral lists this ribosomal RNA (473 nucleotides) under uncultured bacterium. Its description in RNAcentral is "bacterial SSU rRNA". It matches the Rfam family "Bacterial small subunit ribosomal RNA", at positions 355 to 825 of the family's 1533-position model. The record is from RNAcentral.
UGGGGAAUUGUUCACAAUGGGCGCAAGCCUGAUGACGCAACGCCGCGUGGGGGAUGAAGGUCUUCGGAUCGUAAACCCCUGUCGAAUGGGACGAAAGACUCGCGAGUGAAUACUUCGCGAGAGUGACGGUACCUUUAAAGGAAGCCACGGCUAACUCUGUGCCAGCAGCCGCGGUAAUACAGAGGUGGCAAGCGUUGUUCGGAAUUACUGGGCGUAAAGGGCGCGUAGGCGGCCCUCUAAGUCAGACGUGAAAUCCCCCGGCUUAACCUGGGAACUGCGUCUGAUACUGGAGGGCCUGAGUAUGGGAGAGGGAUGUAGAAUUCCAGGUGUAGCGGUGAAAUGCGUAGAUAUCUGGAGGAACACCUGAGGUGAAGACGGGUUGCUGGGCUGACACUGACGCUGAGGCGCGAAAGCCAGGGGAGCAAACGGGAUUAGAUACCCCCGUAGUCCCUGAGCGGGCUGGCAAGGCGCAU